This 76-nucleotide transfer RNA is filed under the name Candidatus Nomurabacteria bacterium. Its description in RNAcentral is "tRNA-Pro". It matches the Rfam family "tRNA". From Rfam's summary of the family: Transfer RNA (tRNA) molecules are approximately 80 nucleotides in length. Their secondary structure includes four short double-helical elements and three loops (D, anti-codon, and T loops). The record is from RNAcentral. Lineage: Bacteria; Candidatus Nomuraibacteriota.
CUGGGUGUAGCGCAGUUGGUAGCGCGCGCGGUUCGGGACUGCGAGGUCGUGUGUUCAAGUCACAUCACCCAGACCA